RNAcentral lists this ribosomal RNA (524 nucleotides) under alpha proteobacterium enrichment culture clone LiUU-12-17. RNAcentral's name for it is "bacterial SSU rRNA". It matches the Rfam family "Bacterial small subunit ribosomal RNA", at positions 341 to 883 of the family's 1533-position model. The record is from RNAcentral. Lineage: Bacteria; Pseudomonadati; Pseudomonadota; Alphaproteobacteria.
ACGGGAGGCAGCAGUAGGGAAUAUUGGACAAUGGGCGAAAGCCUGAUCCAGCCAUGCCGCGUGAGUGAUGAAGGCCUUAGGGUUGUAAAGCUCUUUCAGCGGGGAAGAUAAUGACGGUACCCGCAGAAGAAGCCUCGGCUAACUCCGUGCCAGCAGCCGCGGUAAUACGGAGGAGGCUAGCGUUGUUCGGAAUUACUGGGCGUAAAGCGUGCGUAGGCGGUUUUCUAAGAUGAGUGUGAAAGCCCGGAGCUCAACUCCGGAACUGCGCUCAUGACUGGAAAGCUGGAGUCCGAGAGAGGUGAGUGGAAUUCCCAGUGUAGAGGUGAAUUUCGUAGAUAUUGGGAAGAACACCAGUGGCGAAGGCGGCUCACUGGCUCGGUACUGACGCUGAUGCACGAAAGCGUGGGGAGCAAACAGGAUUAGAUACCCUGGUAGUCCACGCCGUAAACUAUGAGUGCUAGACGUUGGGGGGCUUGCCUCUCAGUGUCGAAGCUAACGCGAUAAGCACUCCGCCUGGGGAGUAC